This 280-nucleotide ribosomal RNA is filed under the name uncultured bacterium. Its description in RNAcentral is "partial 16S ribosomal RNA". It matches the Rfam family "Bacterial small subunit ribosomal RNA", at positions 333 to 605 of the family's 1533-position model. The record is from RNAcentral.
AUGCUCCUACGGGAGGCAGCAGUAGGGAAUUUUCGUCAAUGGGCGCAAGCCUGAACGAGCGAUGCCGCGUGAGUGAAGAAGGCCUUCGGGUCGUAAAGCUCUGUUGCGGGGGAAAAAAGGCAGCAUCAGGAAAUGGGUGCUGACUGAUGGUGCCCCGCCAGAAAGUCACGGCUAACUACGUGCCAGCAGCCGCGAUAAUACGUAGGUGGCGAGCGUUAUCCGGAAUGACUGGGCGUAAAGGGUGCGCAGGCGGUCCUGCAAGUCUGGAGUGAAAGGCAUG